RNAcentral lists this ribosomal RNA (641 nucleotides) under uncultured bacterium. RNAcentral describes it as "bacterial SSU rRNA". It matches the Rfam family "Bacterial small subunit ribosomal RNA", at positions 61 to 699 of the family's 1533-position model. The record is from RNAcentral.
GUCGAACGGAGAUAUGUUCAUGAAGUUUUCGGACGGAAUGGAUAUAUCUUAGUGGCGGACGGGCGAGUAACGCGUGAGCAACCUGCCCUUCAGAGGGGGAUAACGGCUGGAAACGGCCGCUAAUACCGCAUAACAUAUACCUGGGGCAUCCCGGGUAUAUCAAAGGAGCAAUCCGCUGAAGGAUGGGCUCGCGUCCGAUUAGCUAGUUGGUGAGGUAACGGCUCACCAAGGCGACGAUCGGUAGCCGAACUGAGAGGUUGAUCGGCCGCAUUGGGACUGAGACACGGCCCAGACUCCUACGGGAGGCAGCAGUGGGGGAUAUUGCACAAUGGAGGAAACUCUGAUGCAGCGACGCCGCGUGAGGGAAGAAGGCCUUCGGGUUGUAAACCUCAGUAGUCAGGGACGAAGAAAUGACGGUACCUGAAGAGUAAGCUCCGGCUAACUACGUGCCAGCAGCCGCGGUAAUACGUAGGGAGCGAGCGUUGUCCGGAAUUACUGGGUGUAAAGGGUGCGUAGGCGGGACUGCAAGUCAGGCGUGAAAUACCGGGGCUCAACUCCGGGGCUGCGCUUGAAACUGUAGUUCUUGAGUGAAGUAGAGGCAGGCGGAAUUCCUAGUGUAGCGGUGAAAUGCGUAGAUAUUA